This 1208-nucleotide ribosomal RNA is filed under the name Salmonella enterica. Its description in RNAcentral is "partial 23S ribosomal RNA". It matches the Rfam family "Bacterial large subunit ribosomal RNA", at positions 430 to 1503 of the family's 2925-position model. Lineage: Bacteria; Pseudomonadati; Pseudomonadota; Gammaproteobacteria; Enterobacterales; Enterobacteriaceae. The record is from RNAcentral.
UAUCCUGUCUGAAUAUGGGGGGACCAUCCUCCAAGGCUAAAUACUCCUGACUGACCGAUAGUGAACCAGUACCGUGAGGGAAAGGCGAAAAGAACCCCGGCGAGGGGAGUGAAAAAGAACCUGAAACCGUGUACGUACAAGCAGUGGGAGCCCCACCACCAAAGCAUUUGCUGUACCGCGUUGACGGAGCGAAGCGACGUCAAACCGAUAAAACAGCAGUGUAAAGUGAGCCGCAGGGCGCUUUGCGCGACAGCGCAAAGGCAGGCGGUUUCGCGUAGCGAAAGCGAAUGCUUUGGGGUGGGGUGACUGCGUACCUUUUGUAUAAUGGGUCAGCGACUUAUAUUCUGUAGCAAGGUUAACCGAAUAGGGGAGCCGGAGGGAAACCGAGUCUUAAUUGGGCGUUAAGUUGCAGGGUAUAGACCCGAAACCCGGUGAUCUAGCCAUGGGCAGGUUGAAGGUUGGGUAACACUAACUGGAGGACCGAACCGACUAAUGUUGAAAAAUUAGCGGAUGACCUGUGGCUGGGGGUGAAAGGCCAAUCAAACCGGGAGAUAGCUGGUUCUCCCCGAAAGCUAUUUAGGUAGCGCCUCGUGAAUUCAUCUCCGGGGGUAGAGCACUGUUUCGGCUAGGGGGCCAUCCCGGCUUACCAACCCGAUGCAAACUGCGAAUACCGGAGAAUGUUAUCACGGGAGACACACGGCGGGUGCUAACGUCCGUCGUGAAGAGGGAAACAACCCAGACCGCCAGCUAAGGUCCCAAAGUCAUGGUUAAGUGGGAAACGAUGUGGGAAGGCCCAGACAGCCAGGAUGUUGGCUUAGAAGCAGCCAUCAUUUAAAGAAAGCGUAAUAGCUCACUGGUCGAGUCGGCCUGCGCGGAAGAUGUAACGGGGCUAAACCAUGCACCGAAGCUGCGGCAGCGACGCUUAUGCGUUGUUGGGUAGGGGAGCGUUCUGUAAGCCUGUGAAGGUGUGUCGUGAGGCAUGCUGGAGGUAUCAGAAGUGCGAAUGCUGACAUAAGUAACGAUAAAGCGGGUGAAAAGCCCGCUCGCCGGAAGACCAAGGGUUCCUGUCCAACGUUAAUCGGGGCAGGGUGAGUCGACCCCUAAGGCGAGGCCGAAAGGCGUAGUCGAUGGGAAACGGGUUAAUAUUCCCGUACUUGGUGUUACUGCGAAGGGGGGACGGAGAAGGCUAUGUUGGCCGGGCGACGGUU